This 397-nucleotide ribosomal RNA is filed under the name Aegimia elongata. RNAcentral's name for it is "partial 12S ribosomal RNA". It matches the Rfam family "Microsporidia small subunit ribosomal RNA", at positions 752 to 1220 of the family's 1311-position model. Lineage: Eukaryota; Metazoa; Arthropoda; Insecta; Orthoptera; Tettigoniidae. The record is from RNAcentral.
UAUUAUUUGAAUUGUAAAGAGGAUGGCUUGGGUAGUAAUAGUUAAAUUCUUAAAACUCAAAGAAUUUGGCGGUACUUUAAUCUUUUCAGAGGAAUCUGUUCUAUAAUCGAUAUUACACGUUAUAAUACACUUAAUUUUGUAAUUCAAUUUGUAUACCGCCGUUAUAAGAUUAUCUUUUUAGGGAUUUAAUUUUCUUUAAAUUUAAGGAUAAGAUGUCAGGUCAAGGUGCAGUAAAUAGUUAAGGGAGAAAUGGAUUACAAUAAAAUUAUUUAUAUGGAUUUUAAAAUGAAAUUUUUGGAUGAAGGUGGAUUUGAAGGUAAUUUUAUUAAAUUAUGAUAAAGUGAAUAAAGCUCUAGAGUAUGUACACAUCGCCCGUCGCUCUCAUUAGUACAAUGAG